GAUUUUUUACUAACCCUAAAUAAGUAUUGUUGUUGCCUACAUUUAAAUAGUUCAGUUUCACAACAUUUAACUACAUGUUUAAAACUGCAACGAUUAAGUUAAA
Molecule: long non-coding RNA, 103 nt
Organism: Etheostoma spectabile (orangethroat darter)
Lineage: Eukaryota; Metazoa; Chordata; Actinopteri; Perciformes; Percidae
Exons: 3
Source: RefSeq, a predicted model, not a curated record